Molecule: long non-coding RNA, 892 nt
Filed under: Anser cygnoides (Swan goose)
Lineage: Eukaryota; Metazoa; Chordata; Aves; Anseriformes; Anatidae
Description: lncRNA (ENSACDG00005012222.1)
Source: RNAcentral
AUGGGGGCACAGCCUGAGCAGUUUGUGGAGAAGGGGACCAAGGCCUCUCAGCCUAUGCUGGGCUCCAGGCUCCAUCUUGAAGAUCUACGAGUGUUCUGGUGGAGAUGCUUCUGCAAAGCCCGGCCCCAUCCUGAAUCUGAGGACAUCAGACCAGUUCAUGUCAGAAGACGAUACUCCCGUGUCAUUCUUCAGUUUUCUGCUCCAUCUGAAUACAGUUCUUCCGACCAUGGCUGAUAAGAAACCAUUUGUCUUAGAAAGCCCCAAAGCUGCUGAGAUGUACAGAUUCAAAGACAGCUGCGAGUUUUGGUCCUUUCUGGGGAGACCUAGUUAAUGGAUGUUACAAGAAGCCAAAGAAGGAAAAACAGCACUGGGUUGUGUGAUGACCAUGUAUUUUCUUUGUAACAGGAAGCUUAUGGCUAUUUGCGUGCUCAUUUUGCAUAUAGUUCCUUGAAGUGUGAUUAGGGAGACAAAGCAAUAAUCCUAUUGCAGUUGAAGGAAUUUCACCAAAACUUAGAAGGAGAAUCUGUUGCAGCCUGGAACUGGUUAAACUGGUGCAAGAAGGCCAGGAGAGGACAUUUCCUAGUGUGAAUGACUGUAUUUAGGAUACUGCUAUCUUAUUUCCUUAUAUUCAGGGGAAGAAGAGCAAAUAUAGUUAUGUCAUAUAGAAAUAGCACGGAAAUGAUAUUGCACAUUUUCUGGAGGAUGCCGAGGAUAUACCUCUUUGCUGAUGGAGUAGGGGAAAAUAUCUUUUAAGUGGUCUGUUGUAUUCAUGCUGAAUUGAUGAUUGCAUUGGAGAAGCUGAGACUUAUUUGCAUUGACUGUGUGUUACUGUGCCUAAACCUUUUUCUAAAUACAUUUUAUUUUAUAAAUAAAUAUGAAAGUCAUUUUCCCA